AUGCGACUUCACGGGUGGUUUUGCACCCUCCCGCGCGGCCGCAGCUCCCCCCGGCGGCCCCGCAACCAGGCGGAUAACCCUUACCGCGGCCGCCCGCCCCGCGUUUGCAGCCCCCAUGACGUCAGGCCCGGCCGCCAAUGGCCGCGUGCGGGGGUGUCGGGGGCUCCAGGCCGCACAAUGGCCGCGCGCGGGGACAUAUGUCCUCAAUUAGGACCCCGAGCUGCCAUUGUCCCCUCCGUCCCCGCGCCGGCCGGGUGGGGAGCCCACGCUCGGAGCGCCUCCGCGCGCCCGCCGUCGCCGAGGGCCGAGGUGGCGGCGGCUCCGGGGAGGGUCCGGGCGCGGCCGGGCUGGGGCGCGUGCAGGGGGUGCGCGCGCCCGGCGCUCCUCGCGGUGACCUUGCGCAGGCGGCGCGGCGGGGGCGCGGGCGGCGGGCGGGGGCGCGCGGCGGGGGCGCGGCGGCGGGCGGGGGCGCGCCGGGGUGCGGUGCCGAGCCCCGCGGCUGCCGUGUGCGCGGCCGGGCCCGCAGCCCCGCUUUGUGGCCUCGGCCCGGCUGCGUAUUCGUCCUGCGUGGCGGGCGCUCCCGAGGGGCGGGGGCGGGGCGCCGCCAACCCCCUUAUCGCGGAGCCGCAGCCGGCGCGGCCCGACGCGGGGGCGGGGCGGGGACACCCCCCCCCCCGCAGAGCCUGUGUUCCCGGCGCCCUCUCAGGGGGGCCCGGCCGAGGCGCAGCCGGAGGCGCGGGGCCAAUUAGCAUUUUGAUUGCGGGACUGGGGGCCCAUCUGGACCGAGGCCUAAUUACCGGGCAAACCCUCCGGGCGCGGGCGGGACGUGCCCUGCCGGUCCCUUCACCGGCGCCGCCGCCCCGCCCCUCCGGCGGCUCCCGUGCCCCCCGCGCGGCCCAGGCGGCCUAUCCCUCGGCUCGCUCUCGCGCCCUGCCCGCCGUCCACGGCCCCUGGCUGCCCCUUCACCUCUGUCGUCAUUUAUCUACUCCUCCAGCCCCUGGCUGGCCGUCCGCGUGCCUGCCCCUCUGUCAGCUUCCCCGCCCCCCACCCCGCUCCCAACCCUCUUGA
Molecule: long non-coding RNA, 1068 nt
Filed under: Canis lupus familiaris (dog)
Lineage: Eukaryota; Metazoa; Chordata; Mammalia; Carnivora; Canidae
Description: lncRNA (ENSCAFG00040019348.1)
Source: RNAcentral